UUAAAAAGCUCGUAGUUGGAUUUCUGGCGGGGACCCAAGUACCCCUGGUGGGUGUGCUCGGGCCCGGCCAUCCUUCUGUAAACUUUCGCGCGUCCUUCACCGGUCGGCAAAGGGAUCAGAUAAUUUACCUUGAGAAAAUUAGAGUGUUUCAGGCAGGCUUAGCCGGAAUACAUUAGCAUGGAAUAAUGGAAUAGGACUGAGGUCUCGUUGUUGGUUACGCGGACUACAGUAAUGACUAAUAGGGACAGUUGGGGGCAUUAGUAUUUAUUAGCUAGAGGUGGAAUUCUCUAAUUUGAUAAAGACUAACUUAUGCGAAAGCAUUUGCCAAGGAUGUUUUCAUUGAUCAAGAACGAAAGUUAGGGGAUCGAAGACGAUCAGAUACCGUCCUAGUCUUAACCAUAAACUAUGCCGACUAGAGAUCGGAGGGCGUUGCUUGUCUCGACUCCUUCAGCACCUUCUGACAAAUCAAAGUCUUUGGGUUCCGGGGGGAGUAUGGUCGCAAGGCUGAAACUUAAAGGAAUUGACGGAAAGGCACCACCAGGAGUGGAGCCUGCGGCU
This 558-nucleotide ribosomal RNA is filed under the name uncultured marine eukaryote. RNAcentral describes it as "bacterial SSU rRNA". It matches the Rfam family "Eukaryotic small subunit ribosomal RNA", at positions 619 to 1190 of the family's 1831-position model. The record is from RNAcentral.